CUACGGGAGGCUCCAGUGGGGAAUAUUGGACAAUGGGGGAAACCCUGAUCCAGCAAUGCCGCGUGUGUGAAGAAGGCCUGCGGGUUGUAAAGCACUUUCGGUUGGGAGGACUGCUUCUAGCACUAAUAUUGUUGGAAGUUGACGUUACCUUCAGAAGAAGCACCGGCUAACUCCGUGCCAGCAGCCGCGGUAAUACGGAGGGUGCAAGCGUUAAUCGGAAUUACUGGGCGUAAAGCGCGCGUAGGCGGCUAGAUCAGUCGGGUGUGAAAGCCCCGGGCUUAACCUGGGAACUGCAUCCGAUACUGUCUAGCUUGAGUACAGGAAAGGAGAGUGGAAUUCCACAUGUAGCGGUGAAAUGCGUAGAUAUGUGGAGGAACACCAAUGGUGAAGGCAGCUCUCUGGCCUGAUACUGACGCUGAGGUGCGAAAGCGUGGGGAGCAAACGGGAUUAGAUACCCGCGUAGUC
Molecule: ribosomal RNA, 465 nt
Filed under: uncultured bacterium
Lineage: Bacteria
Description: partial 16S ribosomal RNA
Rfam family: Bacterial small subunit ribosomal RNA
Source: RNAcentral